CAAGGAUAAUACUGAUAUGGUCUGAUGGCAGUUAGUUUAGCUGUAAUCAGCAAAAGGGAAUCCGGUGAAAUUCCGGAACAGUCACCACUACUGUAAUGCGGACAAGAGGGCCAAUACCACUGGAAGAAUUCCGGGAAGGGGUCUUUGAGGAGGAAGCGGAGUCAGGAUACCUGCCAUAUUCAGGAAGAGAGC
Molecule: non-coding RNA, 192 nt
Filed under: Lactonifactor longoviformis
Lineage: Bacteria; Bacillati; Bacillota; Clostridia; Eubacteriales; Clostridiaceae
Source: RNAcentral